RNAcentral lists this ribosomal RNA (500 nucleotides) under uncultured bacterium. RNAcentral's name for it is "partial 16S ribosomal RNA". It matches the Rfam family "Bacterial small subunit ribosomal RNA", at positions 30 to 523 of the family's 1533-position model. The record is from RNAcentral.
AUUGAACGCUGGCGGCAGGCCUAACACAUGCAAGUCGAGCGGUUGAAGGGAGCUUGCUCCCUGAUUCAGCGGCGGACGGGUGAGUAAUGCCUAGGAAUCUGCCUAUUAGUGGGGGACAACGUUUCGAAAGGAACGCUAAUACCGCAUACGUCCUACGGGAGAAAGCAGGGGACCUUCGGGCCUUGCGCUAAUAGAUGAGCCUAGGUCGGAUUAGCUUGUUGGUGAGGUAAUGGCUCACCAAGGCGACGAUCCGUAACUGGUCCGAGAGGAUGAUCAGGCACACGGGAAAUGAGACACGGUCCAGACUCCUACGGGGGGCAGCAGUGGAGAAUAUUGGACAAGGGGCGAAAGCCUGAUCCAGCCAUGCCGCGUGUGGGAAGAAGGUCUUCGGAUUGUAAAGCACUUUAAGUUGGGAGGAAGGAUUGUAGAUUAAUACUCUGCAAUUUUGACGUUACCGACAGAAUAAGCACCGGCUAACUCGGUGCCAGCCGCCGCGGUAA